AGAACGCGUCGGGGCUGAGCCGGGGUCCAGCAGCCGCCGCUAUGGACAUCCCGCCGCUGGCCGGCAAGAUCGCGGCGCUGUCGCUGAGCGCCCUCCCGGUGUCCUACGCGCUCAACCACGUCUCGGCGCUCUCGCACCCCCUGUGGGUGGCAUUGAUGAGCGCCCUAAUCCUGGGUCUGCUCUUCGUGGCGGUCUACAGCUUGUCCCAUGGCGAGGUCUCCUAUGACCCACUCUAUGCUGGAAGACAGCUAUGUGGUGGGCUUCAUGGAGUUCUACACCAAGGAGGUACUUGGGGGACGACCAGGGAGCCCCCUACCGCACUGCCCGUCUGAGUCUCCCACCUGCUCCCACAGGGAGAGCCAUACCUGCGCACAGCGCACGGAGUCUUCAUCUGCUACUGGGAUGGCACUGUUCACUACCUCCUCUACCUGGCCAUGGCUGGCGCCAUCUGCAGAAGGUGCAGGAGGCAGGGAGAGGGUGGCCCCUGACCCUGGGAGAGAAGUUGCAUCCUCAGAUGGGGUCCCAGGGCAGGGUGGAGCCAGAAGUGUCUGUAGGAGAAAUCAGGACGCCUCUCUAGGGCUCCAGCCAGGGGUGGCCAGGAGAAGGUUCCAGGGAACGUCUCAGGUGUAGGUGGUGGCCUAGCAUUGCUUACAUCCACCCUGUGCCUGGGCAGCCACUUCUGUUCUUGGACAGAGGGUCUCACUGUUAUUCCCCCGUUCAACUCCCUGUUGUCCCUUCCAUCCUGGGCAAAACUGAAAGGGACCCGGAGCUGGGAAACCCACGGUGGUCUCCGGGCCCUGGCUGGGGCUCUGAGAUUACGGAGUGACUACCUGCUGGUCACCCCUCCAUCCCCUGCUCAGGAAGAGAUACCGGAAUUUUGGACUCUACUGGCUGGGUUCCUUCGCCAUGAGCAUCCUGGUGUUCCUUACAGGAAACAUUCUUGGUGCAAGAGGAACAAAGAAAGGGACUCCUGCAGCGUCCGGCUGACCUGGCCCUUGUCAUAUAUCUCAUCCUUGCUGGCUUCUUCACUCUGUUCCGGGGCCUGGUGGUGCUUGAUUGCCCCACAGAUGCCUGCUUUGUCUAUAUCUACCAGUAUGAGCCAUACCUGCGGGACCCUGUGGCCUACCCUAAGGUGCAGAUGCUGAUGUACAUGUUUUAUGUCCUGCCUUUCUGCGGCCUGGCUGCCUAUGCUCUCACCUUCCCUGGUUGCUCCUGGCUGCCAGACUGGGCCUUGGUGUUUGCUGGAGCCAUCGGCCAGGCACAGUUCUCGCACAUGGGGGCUUCCAUGCACCUGCGCACACCCUUCACCUACCGUGUGCCUGAGGACACCUGGGGCUGCUUCUUCGUGUGCAAUCUGCUGUAUGCGCUGGGCCCCCACCUGCUGGCCUACCGUUGCCUUCAGUGGCCCGCAUUCUUCCACCAGCCACCACCCUCCGACCCCCUAGCCCUCCACAAGAAGCAGCAUUGAGAGAGCUGUGGACUCAGGACCCAGGACUCUGUUUACGUGCCCAGUCAGCCCUACCUGGGGAAGCGGGGGUUGGGUGUUUUAGAGACAGGAGGGACAUCUCCGGGUGUCUUUAGUCUUGGCUAUGGUAGUUUCAGUCCAGUGGGUGGGACGGAGACCAACGACCAAGUGUUCCUGCAAGGAGAGCCUCCCACAGCUGUCACCAUGCUCCAACUCCCACACGAACGCUUCUACCCCUUCCAGAACUUACCCAUCAUCCCCCCAUGGAUCCUUUCAGUAAAAACCCUUUCGAUUUCCAGAAUA
This 1768-nucleotide small RNA is filed under the name Pan troglodytes (chimpanzee). RNAcentral describes it as "retained intron". Lineage: Eukaryota; Metazoa; Chordata; Mammalia; Primates; Hominidae. The record is from RNAcentral.